UGUAGACAUUGCUCAUUCUGA
RNAcentral lists this unclassified non-coding RNA (21 nucleotides) under Mus musculus (house mouse). Its description in RNAcentral is "oocyte_clustered_small_RNA12683". The record is from RNAcentral. Lineage: Eukaryota; Metazoa; Chordata; Mammalia; Rodentia; Muridae.